This 88-nucleotide small nucleolar RNA is filed under the name Cladophialophora psammophila CBS 110553. RNAcentral's name for it is "A. fimigatus snoRNA Afu_199". It matches the Rfam family "A. fimigatus snoRNA Afu_199". The record is from Rfam by way of RNAcentral. Lineage: Eukaryota; Fungi; Ascomycota; Eurotiomycetes; Chaetothyriales; Herpotrichiellaceae.
UAUGAUGAGAAUCUUUUGAUUAGCUCUAGAUCAAGAGCUGCAGUUCUGUUGCAGCGAUGAGCGACACAUUGCAUGUAUUAGCUGAAUG